CCUACGGGUGGCAGCAGUGAGGAAUAUUGGUCAAUGGACGAGAGUCUGAACCAGCCAAGUAGCGUGAAGGAUGACUGCCCUAUGGGUUGUAAACUUCUUUUAUAUGGGAAUAAAACGUUCCACGUGUGGGAUUUUGUAUGUACCAUAUGAAUAAGGAUCGGCUAACUCCGUGCCAGCAGCCGCGGUAAUACGGAGGAUCCGAGCGUUAUCCGGAUUUAUUGGGUUUAAAGGGAGCGUAGGUGGAUUGUUAAGUCAGUUGUGAAAGUUUGCGGCUCAACCGUAAAAUUGCAGUUGAAACUGGCAGUCUUGAGUACAGUAGAGGUGGGCGGAAUUCGUGGUGUAGCGGUGAAAUGCUUAGAUAUCACGAAGAACUCCGAUUGCGAAGGCAGUUCACUGGACUGCAACUGACACUGAGGCUCGAAAGUGUGGGUAUCAAACAGGAUUAGAUACCCCUGUAGUUC
Molecule: ribosomal RNA, 461 nt
Filed under: uncultured bacterium
Lineage: Bacteria
Description: partial 16S ribosomal RNA
Rfam family: Bacterial small subunit ribosomal RNA
Source: RNAcentral